CCUACGGGUGGCAGCAGUGAGGAAUAUUGGUCAAUGGACGAGAGUCUGAACCAGCCAAGUAGCGUGAAGGAUGACUGCCCUAUGGGUUGUAAACUUCUUUUAUAUGGGAAUAAAAUGUUCCACGUGUGGGAUUUUGUAUGUACCAUAUGAAUAAGGAUCGGCUAACUCCGUGCCAGCAGCCGCGGUAAUACGGAGGAUCCGAGCGUUAUCCGGAGUUAUUGGGUUUAAAGGGAGCGUAGGUGGAUUGUUAAGUCAGUUGUGAAAGUUUGCGGCUCAACCGUAAAAUUGCAGUUGAAACUGGCAGUCUUGAGUACAGUAGAGGUGGGCGGAAUUCGUGGUGUAGCGGUGAAAUGCUUAGAGAUCACGAAGAACUCCGAUUGCGAAGGCAGUUCACUGGACUGCAACUGACACUGAGGCUCGAAAGUGUGGGUAUCAAACAGGAUUAGAUACCCUUGUAGUC
This 460-nucleotide ribosomal RNA is filed under the name uncultured bacterium. RNAcentral describes it as "partial 16S ribosomal RNA". It matches the Rfam family "Bacterial small subunit ribosomal RNA", at positions 338 to 795 of the family's 1533-position model. The record is from RNAcentral.